GCAGUAGAACGCUGAAGAGAGGAGCUUGCUCUUCUUGGAUGAGUUGCGAACGGGUGAGUAACGCGUAGGUAACCUGCCUUGUAGCGGGGGAUAACUAUUGGAAACGAUAGCUAAUACCGCAUAACAAUGGAUGACACAUGUCAUUUAUUUGAAAGGGGCAAUUGUUCCACUACAAGAUGGACCUGCGUUGUAUUAGCUAGUAGGUGAGGUAAUGGCUCACCUAGGCGACGAUACAUAGCCGACCUGAGAGGGUGAUCGGCCACACUGGGACUGAGACACGGCCCAGACUCCUACGGGAGGCAGCAGUAGGGAAUCUUCGGCAAUGGGGGCAACCCUGACCGAGCAACGCCGCGUGAGUGAAGAAGGUUUUCGGAUCGUAAAGCUCUGUUGUAAGUCAAGAACGGGUGUGAGAGUGGAAAGUUCACACUGUGACGGUAGCUUACCAGAAAGGGACGGCUAACUACGUGCCAGCAGCCGCGGUAAUACGUAGGUCCCGAGCGUUGUCCGGAUUUAUUGGGCGUAAAGCGAGCGCAGGCGGUUUGAUAAGUCUGAAGUUAAAGGCUGUGGCUCAACCAUAGUUCGCUUUGGAAACUGUCAAACUUGAGUGCAGAAGGGGAGAGUGGAAUUCCAUGUGUAGCGGUGAAAUGCGUAGAUAUAUGGAGGAACACCGGUGGCGAAAGCGGCUCUCUGGUCUGUAACUGACGCUGAGGCUCGAAAGCGUGGGGAGCGAACAGGAUUAGAUACCCUGGUAGUCCACGCCGUAAACGAUGAGUGCUAGGUGUUGGAUCCUUUCCGGGAUUCAGUGCCGCAGCUAACGCAUUAAGCACUCCGCCUGGGGAGUACGACCGCAAGGUUGAAACUCAAAGGAAUUGACGGGGGCCCGCACAAGCGGUGGAGCAUGUGGUUUAAUUCGAAGCAACGCGAAGAACCUUACCAGGUCUUGACAUCCCGAUGCUAUUUCUAGAGAUAGAAAGUUACUUCGGUACAUCGGUGACAGGUGGUGCAUGGUUGUCGUCAGCUCGUGUCGUGAGAUGUUGGGUUAAGUCCCGCAACGAGCGCAACCCCUAUUGUUAGUUGCCAUCAUUCAGUUGGGCACUCUAGCGAGACUGCCGGUAAUAAACCGGAGGAAGGUGGGGAUGACGUCAAAUCAUCAUGCCCCUUAUGACCUGGGCUACACACGUGCUACAAUGGUUGGUACAACGAGUUGCGAGUCGGUGACGGCGAGCUAAUCUCUUAAAGCCAAUCUCAGUUCGGAUUGUAGGCUGCAACUCGCCUACAUGAAGUCGGAAUCGCUAGUAAUCGCGGAUCAGCACGCCGCGGUGAAUACGUUCCCGGGCCUUGUACACACCGCCCGUCACACCACGAGAGUUUGUAACACCCGAAGUCGGUGAG
This 1392-nucleotide ribosomal RNA is filed under the name Streptococcus thermophilus. RNAcentral describes it as "bacterial SSU rRNA". It matches the Rfam family "Bacterial small subunit ribosomal RNA", at positions 57 to 1434 of the family's 1533-position model. Lineage: Bacteria; Bacillati; Bacillota; Bacilli; Lactobacillales; Streptococcaceae. The record is from RNAcentral.